UACGGGGGGGGCAAGCGUUGCUCGGAAUUACUGGGCGUAAAGGGCUCGUAGGUGGCCAACUAAGUCAGACGUGAAAUCCCUCGGCUUAACCGGGGAACUGCGUCUGAUACUGGAUGGCUUGAGUUCGGGAGAGGGAUGCGGAAUUCCAGGUGUAGCGGUGAAAUGCGUAGAUAUCUGGAGGAAUACCGAUGGCGAAGGCAGGUCUCUGGGCUGACACUGACGCUCAUGCACGAAAGCGUGGGGAGCAAACAGG
This 253-nucleotide ribosomal RNA is filed under the name uncultured bacterium. RNAcentral describes it as "partial 16S ribosomal RNA". It matches the Rfam family "Bacterial small subunit ribosomal RNA", at positions 524 to 776 of the family's 1533-position model. The record is from RNAcentral.